ACCAGACUCCUACGGGAGGCAGCAGUGGGGAAUAUUGCACAAUGGGGGAAACCCUGAUGCAGCAACGCCGCGUGAGUGAAGAAGUAUUUCGGUAUGUAAAGCUCUAUCAGCAGGGAAGAGAAUGACGGUACCUGACUAAGAAGCCCCGGCUAACUACGUGCCAGCAGCCGCGGUAAUACGUAGGGGGCAAGCGUUAUCCGGAUUUACUGGGUGUAAAGGGGGCGCAGACGGCAGCGCAAGCCAGGAGUGAAAGCCCGGGGCCCAACCCCGGGACUGCUCUGGAAACUGUAGAGCUAGAGUGCAGGAGAGGUAAGUGGAAUUCCUAGUGUAGCGGUGAAAUGCGUAGAUAUUAGGAGGAACACCAGUGGCGAAGGCGGCUUACUGGACUGUAACUGACGUUGAGGCUCGAAAGCGUGGGGAGCAAACAGGAUUAGAUACCCUAGUA
RNAcentral lists this ribosomal RNA (445 nucleotides) under uncultured bacterium. RNAcentral describes it as "partial 16S ribosomal RNA". It matches the Rfam family "Bacterial small subunit ribosomal RNA", at positions 330 to 792 of the family's 1533-position model. The record is from RNAcentral.